CCUUUACCCCCCUCCAUUUUCACAUCAACAAUAGAGAGGAGUGAUGUUAAAGGGUUCAUUUAGAAUCCUACUCUCACAAUGGGACAGUUCUAAAAAUAGUUUUGUUCUAUUUUAAAGACAUAAGAAAAGAGAUGGAAGAGGGAGAGGAUACAUAAGGAAAAAUGAACAAAAAAAGAGAGGAGAACUUGUUAAGGUGCAUUUUCAGAAUGUGCAAGUAGACCUAUAUGCAAAUAUGAAAGGGGUGAAGAGAGUGGGUACCACGUGAUUUGAUAUUCAUCCUAAUUGAUCAGAAGAGACCAGAACACAUACACAAACAGGGACAUACAACAGAAGGGUGAAGCUGAAAUAUAUUCAACUCAAUAGAGAUAUGUAGUCAGGAACAAGAAGAGGAUAAGGUGGAAUGUAAGAGGGAAGUAGGAAACAGCUGGAUUAUCAUCUCUGCUUUGGCAUUCAAUCUGUUGAGCUAUGUUGCUUUGAUUAAAGUUUAUGAAGAAAAUCUGGCCUCAUACAGAGAUGAAGUUGGGAAAGAGAAGAGGAUUUUAAAAGGCAGAGCUGUUUGAACAAUGGAGUCAGAUCUGACUAGAGCUGAAGGACCAUUUCUUCCUCCAUAGUCCAUGAAGAAGGCUACUCAUUACCAUGUAAUUAAACAGUCUAGAACAAAUUACAGACCGUCUGUGUAAGUUCCAAAAUCCAUCUGGGGAUUGCACCAGUUGAGCACUAAACACAUGCUCAUAAGGAUAGAGAGCAUUAGCUAGUUCUCCAUUUCAAUAACAUUGUAGACUUUUCUAAAGAAUUGAAGUCAAGUUUCCUGGUUUCUCCUUUGAAAAUGCCAUUCUUGUCUCCUUUCCCUCUUUUUGUUUUAAUUGGGACAACAUGUGUUCCUCUUCCAGUCUUUCAAAUGUCAAUGAGUUAGUAAUUCUAUGAAUCAGUUCUUUGAGUGCCUGGUGAUGCAGUUAUUUGGACCAGGAACUGGUGAAUUCUAUUGAUACACACACCUCAUUUUUUAUGUCUUUUAUUCUGGUUGCAUCUGAUCCUUAUGGGCUUCAUUAAACAGCUGGUGUCCAAAUAGGUUUCAUUCAUUGUAAAGAUGCUACUCUAAAUGCAUGAGGAGACAAGCUUCACAUAAUGUACUCUCUACAUAUUUUUAAAAAUGCUGGUUAAUAAGAGAAAAAAAAAAGAAAAUGCCUAGAGUUGGGAAAUGGAAUUUCUAGUUCAUAGAACAAUUCAUAGAAUUCCAGGAAGGUAAGUGUUAUUGAAUUGCAGAAUAUAGGGGUGGUUAAGGUGUAAGAAGACUGGAAAAAUCAGGCAGAAGUCAGGUCAUGAAGAACUUUGAGUGUCAGAAUAUUUUAUCCUGAAUCCUGAAGGUGAUAGGGAGCCCCUGGGGUUUACUGAAUAGAGAGGAGAGACAAGGUUGGACACAGACUGUAG
This 1428-nucleotide long non-coding RNA is filed under the name Monodelphis domestica (gray short-tailed opossum). Its description in RNAcentral is "lncRNA (ENSMODG00000032953.2)". Lineage: Eukaryota; Metazoa; Chordata; Mammalia; Didelphimorphia; Didelphidae. The record is from RNAcentral.